This is a long non-coding RNA of Dinoponera quadriceps, 713 nucleotides long. RefSeq lists it as uncharacterized. Lineage: Eukaryota; Metazoa; Arthropoda; Insecta; Hymenoptera; Formicidae. The transcript has 3 exons. The record is from RefSeq and is a predicted model, not a curated record.
CAGAAGAUCGAAUUACUCGUCACGAGCAUCGGAGAAUGCGCGAUGUAGGCACACAGCUUCCCGUGCGCGAAACUCGAGGACAAUGAAAAGCGGGAAAUACGGGUGAAUGUAAGGCCGAAGCAAUGCCAACCGAAUCGUGAAGCCUUCGUGUGCCAACAUGUAAUUGGCUUUGAGAGUUUUGUCAUUCUAUUCCACACAUGCCAAGUCAGCCGGCGACAAAACUGUGCUAAAUUCGAGUAAAAUUGGAGACUACAAUCGACUGUUGUAAAUCCUCAUCACAAAUAACACGAGAUACAGUAAUAAUAAAGUGGAAUAAAAUAAUACGAAUGAAACAAGAUGCACACUGUGUCUGAUAUCAAUUCAACUGUGAUGUGCCGAAAAUGGAAGGGGAGGAACGAGAGGACGGAUUUACUUCGACACACAGAUCGCGCGAUUAUUUUCGACCCUGGACCGAGUUGAAAGCACAUCUGUGUAACGGUGGAACCCGGUGAACUAGGACUAUGAAUGAACAUUGGAGAAAUACACGCGCUUCUAGAAGAAUGACAAGGGAAGUACAUUAUAUGUACUUCAUAUAGCCAUGUAAGCAUAUCGAUCUGUCUGUAUUAUUAAGCAUAGUAAUAUGCGUUCGCUUAUACGUCUUUUAAAAGGCUUAGCGUGCUACUUAUCGUAUCCCAGAAAUGACGGCGUGUUGAGCAAUCGAUAUAAAUUUCCGA